CGAACGCUGGCGGCGUGCUUAACACAUGCAAGUCGAACGAGGUGAUUGAAAGCUUGCUUUGAGAACCGAGUGGCAAACGGGUGAGUAACGCGUAGACAACCUGCCGCAAAGAUGGGGACAACAGUCCGAAAGGACUGCUAAUACCGAAUGUUGUCAGUUUCUCGCAUGGGAGACUGAUUAAAGAUGGCCUCUACUUGUAAGCUAUCGCUUUGCGAUGGGUCUGCGUCUGAUUAGCUAGUUGGUGGGGUAACGGCCUACCAAGGCGACGAUCAGUAGCCGGUCUGAGAGGAUGAACGGCCACAUUGGAACUGAGACACGGUCCAGACUCCUACGGGAGGCAGCAGUGGGGAAUCUUCCGCAAUGGGCGAAAGCCUGACGGAGCAACGCCGCGUGAGUGAAGAAAGGGGUUUCGGCUCGUAAAGCUCUGUUGACGGGGACGAAUGUGCGAGAUGCGAAUAGUUUCUUGCAAUGACGGUACCCGUCGAGGAAGCCACGGCUAACUACGUGCCAGCCGCCGC
This 518-nucleotide ribosomal RNA is filed under the name uncultured bacterium. Its description in RNAcentral is "bacterial SSU rRNA". It matches the Rfam family "Bacterial small subunit ribosomal RNA", at positions 30 to 518 of the family's 1533-position model. The record is from RNAcentral.